GGGUGGAAGAGGAGACCUGAUCUUGUUAGCUCCGCUAGGGGGUGGAGCAAUGGUAAUGGCCUUUGAUUGAACAGCAGCAGAAAGCAUGCCCAUUCCACUAGAUGAUUUGUUCUUCACGUUUAUCCUGAUGGUUUCACCUUCCUUUAAUCGAUGGUUAACAGCAGGAUGAAUAUCAAUAUGACCAUCACUACUCGUCUCAGCUUCAUCACCAUCUUUCUCAAUAUCUCUCUUCACAUACUUCUCAUGAUCCGAUAACGCUACAUUGAAAUCAAACGCUUCAUUCCUCUCGCUAAACCCUAACCCAAUAAACGCAUGCUUCCCUGUACCAUCUUCGAUCUUCAACACAAAGUACCUCGACGAAUCAAGCACCGAUUCCACCGAAUUCUCCCUCUGUCCCGGCGGCACGAAACAAGCUGCGAACAACUCGCCGGAAUUGGGAUCCUCUAAUCGGAUCUCGCACCGAUCCUUACAUGACACGACCCGGAGCCUACCCGACCAGAUCUUGUCGGUUUGAAGCCACUCGCCGCAUUUGUAGCCGCCGGAGGUUGGCCGAGGAGGAAUUUUGAAGACGUUAACUUCACGCACUACUAGGAGCGUGUGCUCGAAGGAUUCUUCAUCUUCAUCAAACGACAUCGUUUUGGUUGAGUAAU
This 650-nucleotide unclassified non-coding RNA is filed under the name Hevea brasiliensis (rubber tree). The record is from RNAcentral. Lineage: Eukaryota; Viridiplantae; Streptophyta; Magnoliopsida; Malpighiales; Euphorbiaceae.